This is a long non-coding RNA of Oncorhynchus tshawytscha (Chinook salmon), 982 nucleotides long. The record is from Ensembl. NCBI's taxonomy places the organism in Eukaryota, Metazoa, Chordata, Actinopteri, Salmoniformes, Salmonidae.
AUGUUUAUUAGGAUGGAGGGAAAUUUAUAAGUAUCAGUCAUGUUUAUUAGGAUGGGGGGGAUUUAUAGAGUAUCAGUCAUGUUUAUUAGGAUGGAGGGGAUUUAUAAAGUAUCAGUCAUGUUUAUUAGGAUGGGGAGGGAUUUAUAGAGUAUCAGUCAUGUUUAUUAGGAUGGGGGUGGGAUUUAUAGAGUAUCAGUCAUGUUUAUUAGGAUGGGGUGGGAUUUAUAGAUUAUCAGUCAUGUUUAUUAGGAUGAUGGGGAUUUAUAGAGUAUCAGUCAUGUUUAUUAGGAUGGAGGGGGGGAUUUAUAGAGUAUCAGUCAUGUUUAUUAGGAUGGAUGGGAUUUAUAGAGUAUCAGUCAUGUUUAUUAGGAUGGAGGGGAUUUAUAGAGUAUCAGUCAUGUUUAUUAGGAUAGAGGGGAUUUAUAGAGUAUCAGUCAUGUUUAUUAGGAUAGAGGGGAUUUAUAGAGUAUCAGUCAUGUUUAUUAGGAUGGAGGGGGGGGAUUUAUAGAGUAUCAGUCAUGUUUAUUAGGAGAAGAUGGGGGAUUUAUAGAGUAUCAGUCAUGUUUAUUAGGAUGGAGGGGGGGAUUUAUAGAGUAUCAGUCAUGUUUAUUAGGAUGGAUGGGGGGAUUUAUAGAGUAUCAGUCAUGUUUAUUAGGAUGGAGGGGAUUUAUAGAGUAUCAGUCAUGUUUAUUAGGAUGGAUGGGGGGAUUUAUAGAGUAUCAGUCAUGUUUAUUAGGAUGGAGGGGAUUUAUAGAGUAUCAGUCAUGUUUAUUAGGAUGGAGGGGAUUUAUAGAGUAUCAGUCAUGUUUAUUAGGAUAGAGGGGGGGAUUUAUAGAGUAUCAGUCAUGUUUAUUAGGAUGGAGGGGAUUUAUAGAGUAUCAGUCAUGUUUAUUAGGAUGGAUGGGGGGAUUUAUAGAGUAUCAGUCAUGUUUAUUAGGAUGGAGGGGAUUUAUAGAGUAUCAGUCAUGUUUAUUAGGAUAAG